CUGGGCUGUUUCCAAGCUUUCACUAUUACAAACUGUGCUGCUAUGAACAUGGGUGCACAUAUAUCGCUGUGGGGAGAAGAUUUAAAAGGGGUUAGGGAGGAGAAAACAGAAACAGAAGAGGAAGAGAUCAGGAGCAAGGCUGGAGGACAAACUUUAGGAAACUGGUGAAGAAGACAGGUGGGAAAGAGAAAAGGAAGAAAUAAAAACAAGAACAGAACAACAACAAAAAUCUAGAAACCGUGUUCAAAUAAUCAAGAAAAAACAAAACAAUAACCACAAAGGAGGGGGAAAAAGAAAGAAAAAAACCCAGCCAAUUCAAGCAAUUCACAGUGCUUGGCUGCUUUUUCGGAAACUCCCCUGGAGGGGGCGCUCCCUCUACUAGCCCUGGCUCCCUAUAAAGGGCCAGGCCACUUGGCAGAAGAUGCCCACUGAGGAUCCCGAGAUAGCAUCUGUGUCUGCCACAGCUCUGCCUGCAAGUACCAUGAAGGUCUCUGCAGCUGCCCUCUCUUGUUGUCCUAACUGCUGCCACCCUCUGCGCUACUGCAUCUGCCUCCCCACAUGCCUCAGACACCACUCCUUGGUGCUUUGCCUAUAUCCCCCGGCCAUUGCCCCGCAACCACAUCACGGAAUAUUUCUACACCGUGGCAAGUGCUCCAACUCAGCAGUCGUAUUUGUUACCCGAAAGAACUGCCAGGUGUGUGCCAACCCAGAGAAGAACUGGGUUUGAGAGUACAUCAGCUCUUUAGAGAUGAGCUAGGAGAGGGAGCAUCCUGAACCUGACCUUGUGUAAACUCAGAUGCUGUGCCUUGCUCUAGUCUUAACCAGCUUAGGAAGCUUCUCAAUUGCUACUCCCAUUCAUCCUUGGGAGGGCAUGGGUUUUACUACAAAGCAGCAAUAAUAAUGGCUUCUCCCACUUAAAAGCCUAAAAGAGCUACUGUGGCCCUGCCUUGGCAUGGGAAGUCUCUAGGUUUCCAGCUUCAGGCCUCUCACCCUGCCCACAACUCAGUGACAAGGAAAGAAAUCAGCAUGCCGCUCAAGGCAAAGAAGUAAGACUGG
This 1056-nucleotide long non-coding RNA is filed under the name Heterocephalus glaber (naked mole-rat). RNAcentral's name for it is "lncRNA (ENSHGLG00100045702.1)". The record is from RNAcentral. Lineage: Eukaryota; Metazoa; Chordata; Mammalia; Rodentia; Bathyergidae.